GAUGAACGCUGGCGGCGUGCCUAAUACAUGCAAGUCGAGCGAACAGAUGAGGAGCUUGCUCCUCUGACGUUAGCGGCGGACGGGUGAGUAACACGUGGAUAACCUACCUAUAAGACUGGGAUAACUUCGGGAAACCGGAGCUAAUACCGGAUAAUAUAUUGAACCGCAUGGUUCAAUAGUGAAAGACGGUUUUGCUGUCACUUAUAGAUGGAUCCGCGCCGCAUUAGCUAGUUGGUAAGGUAACGGCUUACCAAGGCAACGAUGCGUAGCCGACCUGAGAGGGUGAUCGGCCACUCUGGAACUGAGACACGGUCCAGACUCCUACGGGAGGCAGCAGUAGGGAAUCUUCCGCAAAGGGCGAAAGCCUGACGGAGCAACGCCGCGUGAGUGAUGAAGGUCUUCGGAUCGUAAAACUCUGUUAUUAGGGAAGAACAAAUGUGUAAGUAACUAUGCACGUCUUGACGGUACCUAAUCAGAAAGCCACGGCUAACUACGUG
Molecule: ribosomal RNA, 497 nt
Filed under: uncultured bacterium
Lineage: Bacteria
Description: partial 16S ribosomal RNA
Rfam family: Bacterial small subunit ribosomal RNA
Source: RNAcentral